Long non-coding RNA from Passer domesticus (house sparrow), 833 nucleotides. RefSeq lists it as uncharacterized. Lineage: Eukaryota; Metazoa; Chordata; Aves; Passeriformes; Passeridae. The record is from RefSeq and is a predicted model, not a curated record. The transcript is spliced from 3 exons.
AGUGUAUAUAUGAGUAAGUUACUCCUGCAUGAAAACUUCUUCAGAACCAGUGACACCUUUGAGUAACAACUGCAAAGGUCAGCCUUCAGAUUCAGUGAAGUGAACAUUGUGAAACAAUUUGGCAACACACUUCUAACAUCAUAAAGGAGGACAACUCCCCCUGAUUAAAGGGCAGUGGGAUCAUGGCCUCCCUUUUCUACUCAUAGCGUUGACAUUUCCACAGUAAUAGGGACAUGUUCUGGCAGCUUUGAGAAAAUACUGACUCUGAAAUCUUUUUACUGUUGUUUGGAAAACAGUUUCAGUAAUUAAUUUUAUUCAGUGGGCAUGGAAGCAGUGCCCUGUAUCUCUGAUUAAUACAGUAAUUCAAGAUACCAGUGAUUUAAGACAGCUGCUAGUGCUGACUCAUUCACUGUACCUUGUGGUAUGUUUACCCCAACUGCUUGCUGCUUUGGAGGCUGUCGAAUGAGGAAGGAAUAUUAAUCAGUGAGCACAUCGCACUGUGCUCUAGAACUACAGUCAUGGACUAGAUGACCACCCAUGCUUGAAAAAGGCAUGCUGACUGAAUCAUCUCUGACUUCCAGCACCACACUCCCAGUCCCAGGAGAUGCCUUAGCUGCAAGGACUCUGUGUGGAGAAGGAAAUGCAAAACCCUAAAAGAGGAGCCAGAGAUUAAGCUUGGAGAUUUACCAGGUUAAAGAAAUACUUGCUUUCAACUCUAGGACAUGACUGAAGCAUAUAAAGAGCAGGCAACUUCAAAAUCCCUUGUCUUAUCUCCUUUUCCCAGGCAUUUGUUAAUUUGCUAGUAGCUUCCUUCUUUGAAAGAAAAUUCCUAU